This 21-nucleotide microRNA is filed under the name Spodoptera frugiperda (fall armyworm). Its description in RNAcentral is "sfr-miR-317-5p". Its record names the gene sfr-miR-317-5p. Lineage: Eukaryota; Metazoa; Arthropoda; Insecta; Lepidoptera; Noctuidae. The record is from miRBase by way of RNAcentral.
GGGUGCCACGCUGUGCUCUCU